This 359-nucleotide transfer-messenger RNA is filed under the name Candidatus Latescibacterota. RNAcentral describes it as "GCA-2724215 sp009845645 Standard tmRNA". It matches the Rfam family "transfer-messenger RNA". From Rfam's summary of the family: Bacterial tmRNA, also known as 10Sa RNA or SsrA, is named for its dual tRNA and mRNA-like properties. Its role is to liberate the mRNA from a stalled ribosome. RNAcentral also lists the same sequence under 1 other name. Lineage: Bacteria; Pseudomonadati. The record is from RNAcentral.
GGGGGCGACUUGGCUUCGACGGGGUCGGAGAAGCCCAAAUUGCGUGCCGAGGUCCCGACACCUCGUAAAUCCUCGGGAAACAAUUAAGCGACGAAACUAACACGUACGCUCUGGCUGCCUAAAUUUAGCGCAGCCCAUUGGGGUCUGUUGAGCCUGCGCGGCAGGCCCCAAUGCCAUCUCUUAGCAGGCUGGUCCCAAACCUUCGCCCGAGGGAAUGGGGCGAGAUUUUUCGGGCUGGCUCGUUGCGAGGCCCGUCGACCGGCAGCGCAACAGGCGAGAUAACUAAGGCCGACUACGCACGUAGCAUAUUUCGGUAGAACCGGUCUCGGACGCGGGUUCGAUUCCCGCCGCCUCCACCA